GCCCGGAGAUAGCUGGUUCUCCCCGAAAUAGCUUUAGGGCUAGCCUCAAGGUGAGAGAUACGGAGGUAGAGCACUGAAUGUCCUAGGGGGUAUUGCACCUACCGAAGACUAUCAAACUCCGAAUGCCGUCAUCUUAUACUUGGGAGUCAGACUGUGGGUGAUAAGAUUCAUAGUCGAAAGGGCAACAGCCCAGAUCGUCAGCUAAGGUCCCUAAAUGUAAGUUAAGUGGUAAAGGAUGUGGGAUUGCACAGACAACCAGGAUGUUGGCUUAGAAGCAGCCACUCAUUCAAAGAGUGCGUAAUAGCUCACUGGUCGAGUGAUCCUGCGCCGAAGAUUUCCGG
This 341-nucleotide ribosomal RNA is filed under the name Clostridioides difficile. RNAcentral describes it as "partial 23S ribosomal RNA". It matches the Rfam family "Bacterial large subunit ribosomal RNA", at positions 837 to 1178 of the family's 2925-position model. The record is from RNAcentral. Lineage: Bacteria; Bacillati; Bacillota; Clostridia; Peptostreptococcales; Peptostreptococcaceae.